Molecule: ribosomal RNA, 465 nt
Filed under: uncultured bacterium
Lineage: Bacteria
Description: partial 16S ribosomal RNA
Rfam family: Bacterial small subunit ribosomal RNA
Source: RNAcentral
GACGAACGCUGGCGGCGUGCUUAACACAUGCAAGUCGAACGGAAAGGCCCCUUUGGGGGUACUCGAGUGGCGAACGGGUGAGUAACACGUGAGUAACCUGCCCUUGACUUCGGGAUAACUUCAGGAAACUGGGGCUAAUACCGGAUAGGAAUCCUUGCUGCAUGGUGGGGGUUGGAAAGCUUCGGCGGUUUUGGAUGGACUCGCGGCUUAUCAGCUUGUUGGUGGGGUAGUGGAUUACCAAGCCGUUGACGGGUAGCAGGCCUGAGAGGGCGACCGGCCACAUUGGGACUGAGAGACGGCCCAGACACCUACGGGAGGCAGCAGGGGGGAAUAUUGAACAAGGGGCGGAAGCCUGAUGCAGCAGCGCCGCGUGCGGGAUGACGGCCUUCGGGUUGUAGACCGCUUUCAGCAGGGGCGAAGCUUGUGGUGACGGUACCUGCAGAAGAAGCACCGGCUAACUACGUG